UGCGAACUCCUACGGGAGGCAGCAGUGGGGAAUUUUGGACAAUGGGCGCAAGUCUGACCGAGCAACGCCGCGUGAGUGAAGAAGGUUUUCGGAUCGUAAAGCUCUGUUGUAAGAGAAGAACGAGUGUGAGAGUGGAAAGUUCACACUGUGACGGUAUCUUACCAGAAAGGGACGGCUAACUACGUGCCAGCAGCCGCGGUAAUACGUAGGUCCCGAGCGUUGUCCGGAUUUAUUGGGCGUAAAGCGAGCGCAGGCGGUUAGAUAAGUCUGAAGUUAAAGGCUGUGGCUUAACCAUAGUACGCUUUGGAAACUGUUUAACUUGAGUGCAAGAGGGGAGAGUGGAAUUCCAUGUGUAGCGGUGAAAUGCGUAGAUAUAUGGAGCAACACCGGUGGCGAAAGCGGCUCUCUGGCUUGUAACUGACGCUGAGGCUCGAAAGCGUGGGGAGCAAACAGGAUUAGAUACCCCGGUAGUCCAGAGAA
Molecule: ribosomal RNA, 480 nt
Filed under: uncultured bacterium
Lineage: Bacteria
Description: bacterial SSU rRNA
Rfam family: Bacterial small subunit ribosomal RNA
Source: RNAcentral